This 600-nucleotide ribosomal RNA is filed under the name Triticum aestivum (bread wheat). RNAcentral's name for it is "partial small subunit ribosomal RNA". The record is from RNAcentral. Lineage: Eukaryota; Viridiplantae; Streptophyta; Magnoliopsida; Poales; Poaceae.
AUGGAGCAGCAGCACAAUGACCACAGUGCCAUGGGCGUCGCUACUCCCUCCUGCUCAUCCUCCACCACAUCAUCUUUGGACUCGUUUCCAUUCGACUCGAGCUUGAGUAGCGGCGAGAUGCUUGACGCGGAAAGGAGUCCUCGGCCCAAGAAGCGAGCACUCUCGGCAGCACCGUCGUACAUCGGCGUGCGCGCGCGGCCGUGGGGACGGUUCGCGGCGGAGAUCCGAGACUCCACGCGUGGCGGCGCACGGGUGUGGCUGGGCACGUUUCAAACUGCCGAGGCCGCCGCGAUGGCCUACGACCAGGCGGCCCUGUCCUCGAGGGGCGCGGCCACGGCGCUCAACUUUCCCCUGGAGCGUGUCCAGGACUCGCUCUGCGCGCUCGGCGCCACCGCCACUGGCUCGUGCAUGGGAGGUUCGCCCGUCCUGGCGCUCAAAUGGCGCCACUCCUGUAGACGGAGGCGCAACAAAGCCGAGAUAUUGAACGAUGCGGCGACAGCCAGGGUGAAAAAGAAGAAACGGUUCAUCGUGGAGCUGGUGGACCUGGGUGCCGAGUACCUGGACGAGCUUCUCAGAAUUACCUGUAAUACAGCUUACUAG